This is a long non-coding RNA of Gordionus sp. m RMFG-2023, 1018 nucleotides long. RefSeq lists it as uncharacterized. The transcript is spliced from 6 exons. NCBI's taxonomy places the organism in Eukaryota, Metazoa, Nematomorpha, Gordioida, Chordodea, Parachordodidae. The record is from RefSeq and is a predicted model, not a curated record.
UUAAUUUCAAAAAUAAAUAAAACCACAAAAUAUUUUCCCCCUCUUUUGUUAUUAAAAUUUUUUCUCUUUAUUAUCCAGGCAUAUAUAAUUUUGAAAUAUAAAAUUACAUAAAAUUAUUUCUGAAUAUUCAUAAUUUCUUGACAUUUAUUUUUUGUCGUAUUCAAUAAUUUGAUGAAAACAAGAUAUAGUUUUCAUAUGUGAGAUUUGUACAUAAUGAUGAAAAAUUGCUGGAUAAAGAUAGAGAGAAAAAAAACAUGAUAAUGAUGAAAAUGUCGAUUAGAUUAUUGCAAAAUUUUAAAUUUGUGGAUUGAAUUAAAUACAAAUAUUAAUUGACGCUUGCAACAGAGGGUGACUGACUAUACAACUAAAGGGAAAUUUUACCCACGAAGUCGCAUAAAAUUGUCGAGGGCGAUCAGAAAAAAAAUAUUGCUAUUUGGUUUUUCACUAUAGAGGUGGGGUAAAUACGAUACCACGACUUUAUAAUCGUUGUAAUACAAAACCUAGAAGAUAUUCUGUUCUGACCUGAUUCAGUACUUUAAUAUUCUGUAACAAUUAAUAUAAUUUCCAAAUUUCAUGAUUAUUGAUGAUAGUUUUUGAGAUAUUAGCAAUUUGUCGAGCUUGGGGUAAAAUAUACCCCACCUGUGUACUUAACUUAUUUGCCUUCCAAUAAAAUAUGACAUUAAUAUCUCACGUACCAAAAAAGUAUAAACAUGUUGUUAUUAUUUCUACUCUUCACAAUAUUAAUAUUAAUACAUAAACUGGAGAUUUGAAAAAACCAAAAAUCACCAUUUUUACAAUCUCGAUAAAGCUGGAGAUGAUGUUGUGAAUCAACUUCGUUCAAAUUAUUCUAUAUCAAGAAAAACAUAUAUAAAAUUAUUAGCUAUGGAGCUAAUAACUCCAUUAAUGAGUUAGAUAUGAAAAUCCUCGUGUAGAUUGCUAAGGGAUGAUAUUGGUAAAAUGCUCAAUAUAGAGGAACUAAACUCCAUUUCUACCAAACACAAAGGAAGGUUUUUCUCUU